RNAcentral lists this ribosomal RNA (460 nucleotides) under uncultured bacterium. RNAcentral describes it as "partial 16S ribosomal RNA". It matches the Rfam family "Bacterial small subunit ribosomal RNA", at positions 338 to 795 of the family's 1533-position model. The record is from RNAcentral.
CCUACGGGUGGCAGCAGUGAGGAAUAUUGGUCAAUGGACGGGAGUCUGAACCAGCCAAGUAGCGUGAAGGAUGACUGCCCUAUGGGUUGUAAACUUCAUUUAUAAGGGAAUAAAACGAGACGCGUGUGCCUUUUUACAUGUACUUUAAGAAUAAGGAUCGGCUAACUCCGUGCCAGCAGCCGCGGUAAUACGGAGGAUCCGCGCGUUAUCCGGAUUUAUUGGGUUUAAAGGGAGCGUAGAUGGGUUGUUAAGUCAGUUGUGAAAGGUUGUGGCUCAACCUUAAAAUUGCAAUGGAUACUGGCAGUCUGGAGUACAGGUGAGGUAGGCGGAAUUCGUGGUGUAGCGGUGAAAUGCGUAGAUAUCACGAAGAACCCCGAUUGCGAAGGCAGCUUACUAAACUGUGACUGACAUUGAUGCUCGAAAGUGUGGGUAGCAAACAGGAUUAGAUACCCCUGUAGUC